Long non-coding RNA from Eriocheir sinensis (Chinese mitten crab), 998 nucleotides. RefSeq lists it as uncharacterized. The transcript has 3 exons. The record is from RefSeq and is a predicted model, not a curated record. Lineage: Eukaryota; Metazoa; Arthropoda; Malacostraca; Decapoda; Varunidae.
CUAUAUCAUCCCUUUUGAUGUUCUUUGGUCUGGAUGAGCCUCUUUCUCCCCAGAAAAGACUCACCCAUAAUUUUGAAGAUGUUAGGGCCUGAAGGUGGAUGAUUUGUGUUUUUUAUUUUAUUUUCUUGAUGUUUUGUUACUAUAUUUUCCUUUUUCUGGUGUUCCUUUUUAUUUUCCUUUUCUUUGGUGUUCCCAUCACGUGGAUUGUCUACGACAUCUAACGAGCACCACAAGCCCCGGUUUAUUGUUCGGAGUUUGCUCUCCUAGGCAGACUGCCUACCACGGCUGACGAGCUCCACCUGCCCGGGUUUAUUGUUCGGAGUUUGCUCUCCUAGGUGUAUUACCUAUGACGGCUCACGAGCCCAACCUGCCCGGGUUUAUUGUUCGGAGUUUGCUCUCCUAGGUGUAUUACCUAUGACGGCUCACGAGCCCAACCUGCCCGGGUUUAUUGUUCGGAGUUUGCUCUCCUAGGUGAAUUGCCUACCACGGCUAACGAACCUCACCUGCCCGGGUUUGUAAUCGGAGUUUGCUCUCCUAGGUGAACUGCUCACGCUAACGACCUCCACCUGCCCGGUUUUGUUAUCGGAGUUUGCUCUCCUAGAUGAACUGCUUUCGCUAACGACCUCCACCUGCCCGGGUUUAUUGUUCGGAGUUUGCUCUCCUAGGUGUAUUACCUAUGACGGCUCACGAGCCCAACCUGCCCGGGUUUAUUGUUCGGAGUUUGCUCUCCUAGGUGAAUUGCCUACCACGGCUAACGAGCCCCACCUGCCCGGCGUUGUAGCCGAAAGAUCUCCGGCACCUCCGUCGGGGUCCCGAUGGACGCCGAGGCGCCCUACCUGGAGCCCUUCAGUUCUGCCAUGCUCGCCUGGGAGACCUUGGGCUCGCUGGCGCUCCACCCCCCCGCCGAUUCGAAUAGGGCGGAUGCAAGAACUCGCUUCUUAAAACUACCAGACUGGAUUAUAAAAUUAAUCAUAAAUGCCGUGAAGGCGCCGGUCACC